Molecule: ribosomal RNA, 398 nt
Filed under: Acanthoscelides malvastrumicis
Lineage: Eukaryota; Metazoa; Arthropoda; Insecta; Coleoptera; Chrysomelidae
Description: partial 12S small subunit ribosomal RNA
Source: RNAcentral
UAAACUAGGAUUAGAUACCCUAUUAUUGAAAAUGUAAAUUUAUUAUACUAAAUUAGUAUUAGUUAUGUUCUUAAAAAUUAAAAAAUUUGGCGGUAUUUUAGUCUUUUCAGAGGAACCUGUUCUGUAAUUGAUAGUCCACGAUUAAAUUUACUUUAUUUUUUAGUUUACAUAUCGUCGUAGUUUAGAAUAUUUUAAUAGAAUAUUAAUAUUCAAGAUUUUUUAUUAAAAAAUAAAUCAGAUCAAGGUGUAGUUGAUAAUAAAGUAGAAAUGGGUUACAAUAAAUUUAUUUUAGGAUAAUUUUUAUUACAAAAAUUUGAAUAUGGAUUUGAAAGUAAUUUUUAUAUAUUUAUAAUUUGAUUAUAGCUCUAAAAUAUGCACACAUCGCCCGUCGCUCUUAA